UAGCUCAGUCGGUAGAGCAGGGGACUGAAAAUCCCCGUGUCGGUGGUUCGAUUCCGCCUCUGGGCACCA
Molecule: transfer RNA, 69 nt
Filed under: Clostridioides difficile
Lineage: Bacteria; Bacillati; Bacillota; Clostridia; Peptostreptococcales; Peptostreptococcaceae
Description: tRNA-Phe
Rfam family: tRNA
About the family: Transfer RNA (tRNA) molecules are approximately 80 nucleotides in length. Their secondary structure includes four short double-helical elements and three loops (D, anti-codon, and T loops). Further hydrogen bonds mediate the characteristic L-shaped molecular structure. tRNAs have two regions of fundamental functional importance: the anti-codon, which is responsible for specific mRNA codon recognition, and the 3' end, to which the tRNAs corresponding amino acid is attached (by aminoacyl-tRNA synthetases). tRNAs cope with the degeneracy of the genetic code in two manners: having more than one tRNA (with a specific anti-codon) for a particular amino acid; and 'wobble' base-pairing, i.e. permitting non-standard base-pairing at the 3rd anti-codon position.
Source: RNAcentral